ACUUGGACCGGUGUGACAAGGAGGAGUGCGAAGUGACCGUGAGGAUCGCCGUGAGGAGCGCCGAUCUUCGCUCGAGAUCGGCGAGGUGUUUUCUUGUGCCAGCGGAAGCUUCCUCUCGUCCAAGGAUCCGGCAAUAGCCGGCGUUUUGUCGCUGGUUUUCGCCCCGUGCCGGCCGCUAAGCAGUGAUUAAUGGACUGGAGCCACUGAAUUCAGGCCGACCGACGGAAAAUUGGCCGGUAGUGAAAAUUGGGAUUGUGGAGAAAGAAGGA
Molecule: long non-coding RNA, 269 nt
Organism: Pogonomyrmex barbatus (red harvester ant)
Lineage: Eukaryota; Metazoa; Arthropoda; Insecta; Hymenoptera; Formicidae
Source: RefSeq, a predicted model, not a curated record